Molecule: unclassified non-coding RNA, 337 nt
Filed under: soil metagenome
Description: partial contains 5.8S ribosomal RNA, internal transcribed spacer 2, and large subunit ribosomal RNA
Rfam family: 5.8S ribosomal RNA (bases 1-120)
Source: RNAcentral
GAUGAAGAACGCAGCGAAAUGCGAUAAGUAGUGUGAAUUGCAGAAUUCAGUGAAUCAUCGAAUCUUUGAACGCACAUUGCGCCCGCCAGUAUUCUGGCGGGCAUGCCUGUUCGAGCGUCAUUUCAACCAUCAAGCCCCCCGGCUUGUGUUGGGGACCUGCGGCUGCCGCAGGCCCUGAAAAGCAGUGGCGGGCUCGCUGUCACACCGAGCGUAGUAGAUCUCAUCUCGCUCAGGGCGUGCUGCGGGUUCCGGCCGUUAAACCACCUUCAUAACCCAAGGUUGACCUCGGAUCAGGUAGGAAGACCCGCUGAACUUAAGCAUAUCAAUAAGCGGAGGA